This 253-nucleotide ribosomal RNA is filed under the name uncultured bacterium. RNAcentral describes it as "partial 16S ribosomal RNA". It matches the Rfam family "Bacterial small subunit ribosomal RNA", at positions 524 to 776 of the family's 1533-position model. The record is from RNAcentral.
UACGAAGGGGGCUAGCGUUGCUCGGAAUCACUGGGCGUAAAGCGCACGUAGGCGGAUCUUUAAGUCAGGGGUGAAAUCCCAAGGCUCAACCUUGGAACUGCCUUUGAUACUGGGGAUCUCGAGUCCGGAAGAGGUUGGUGGAACUCCGAGUGUAGAGGUGAAAUUCGUAGAUAUUCGGAAGAACACCAGUGGCGAAGGCGGCCAACUGGUCCGGCACUGACGCUGAGGUGCGAAAGCCAGGGGAGCGAACGGG